Amphimedon queenslandica is the source of this 447-nucleotide long non-coding RNA. RefSeq lists it as uncharacterized. The record is from RefSeq and is a predicted model, not a curated record. NCBI's taxonomy places the organism in Eukaryota, Metazoa, Porifera, Demospongiae, Haplosclerida, Niphatidae. The transcript is spliced from 3 exons.
UAAAAAAUCAGCCAAUUUCUGAAAAAUUCCCUGUACUUAUAGCCCAUGUGUUAUUCUCCUUAUUUUUAUUCAGUUCACACGUCCCAUCCAGAGAGCAGAGUGAGGCAUUGGAAUGCUUACAUGUUGUUUUAUGAGGCAGCAAACGAAAUUAAGAAAACACAAGACACUCAUAAAGAACAGGACAGACGUCUUGUUUUCUGUUACUCCUGCUGGUUCAACUGAUUACUGUAUUUGGACAAGCACCUUCCACCUUACCCAGUGUUCGACUGCAUUUAUUUAUUGAGGACAGGAUAAUACUUGAUUACUCUAUGAAUAUGAUAUAUGCUAGCUAUAUAUGUAUGAUCUAUGAUAGCUAGAUAUAUAAAUAUAUGUAUAAAUACAGUGUAGGCAGCCACACUAUCAGCUGUGGUUCUUUCUUGAGCCAUUCAAUAAAUUGUCUUUCAGCAA